Molecule: ribosomal RNA, 442 nt
Filed under: Streptococcus sanguinis
Lineage: Bacteria; Bacillati; Bacillota; Bacilli; Lactobacillales; Streptococcaceae
Description: bacterial SSU rRNA
Rfam family: Bacterial small subunit ribosomal RNA
Source: RNAcentral
GACGAACGCUGGCGGCGUGCCUAAUACAUGCAAGUAGAACGCUGAAGAGAGGAGCUUGCUCUUCUUGGAUGAGUUGCGAACGGGUGAGUAACGCGUAGGUAACCUGCCUGGUAGCGGGGGAUAACUAUUGGAAACGAUAGCUAAUACCGCAUGAUAUUAAUUGUCGCAUGAUAAUUAAUUGAAAGAUGCAAUUGCAUCACUACCAGAUGGACCUGCGUUGUAUUAGCUAGUUGGUGAGGUAACGGCUCACCAAGGCGACGAUACAUAGCCGACCUGAGAGGGUGAUCGGCCACACUGGGACUGAGACACGGCCCAGACUCCUACGGGAGGCAGCAGUAGGGAAUCUUCGGCAAUGGGGGGAACCCUGACCGAGCAACGCCGCGUGAGUGAAGAAGGUUUUCGGACCGUAAAGCUCUGUUGUAAGAGAAGAACAGGGUGUGAG